RNAcentral lists this ribosomal RNA (259 nucleotides) under uncultured bacterium. RNAcentral's name for it is "partial 16S ribosomal RNA". It matches the Rfam family "Bacterial small subunit ribosomal RNA", at positions 57 to 305 of the family's 1533-position model. The record is from RNAcentral.
GCAAGUCGAACGCGAAAGUACCCUUCGGGGUGCGAGUAGAGUGGCGAAAGGGUGAGUAAUGCAUAGGCAACGUACCUUCGGGAUCGGGAUAGCUGCUGGAAACGGCAGGUAAUACCGGAUGGUCAGGUUGGGAGGCAUCUCCUGGCUUGUAAAUGGUUGGGCAACCUUCUGCCCAAAGAGCGGCCUAUGUCCUAUUAGCUUGUUGGUGAGGUAACGGCUCACCAAGGCUGCGAUGGGUAGCCGGACUGAGAGGUUGGCC